RNAcentral lists this ribosomal RNA (255 nucleotides) under uncultured bacterium. RNAcentral describes it as "partial 16S ribosomal RNA". It matches the Rfam family "Bacterial small subunit ribosomal RNA", at positions 524 to 776 of the family's 1533-position model. The record is from RNAcentral.
UACGUAGGUGGCAAGCGUUGUCCGGAAUUAUUGGGCGUAAAGCGCGCGCAGGCGGUUCUUUAAGUCUGAUGUGAAAGCCCACGGCUCAACCGUGGAGGGUCAUUGGAAACUGGAGAACUUGAGUACAGAAGAGGAAAGCGGAAUUCCACGUGUAGCGGUGAAAUGCGUAGAGAUGUGGAGGAACACCAGUGGCGAAGGCGGCUCUCUGGGACGGUACUGACGCUGAGACGCGAAAAGCGUGGGGGAGCGAACAGG